UGUAAUUUGUAGAGGAUGCUUCGGCGAANACUCCUGCCUAAGUCCCCUGGAACGGGGCGUCAUAGAGGGUGAGAAUCCCGUAUGUGGCGGGCAGUCUAAGCCAUGUGAAGCUCCUUCGACGAGUCGAGUUGUUUGGGAAUGCAGCUCUUAAUGGGAGGUAAAUUUCUUCUAAAGCUAAAUAUUGGCCAGAGACCGAUGGCGCACAAGUAGAGNGAUCGAAAGAUGAAAAGCACUUUGGAAAGAGAGCNAAAAGUACGUGAAAUUGUUGAAAGGGAAGCGCUUGCAACCAGACUCGCUCGGAGUUGCUCAGCCGGCCUCUUGGCCGGUGCACUCUUCUACUAUCGGCCCAGCAUCAGNUCGGGCGGCAGGAUAAAGGUGUCGGGAAUGNAGCACCCUUCGGNGCGUGUUAUAGNCCGNCGCGNAAUGCUGCCUGCCUGGACUGA
RNAcentral lists this ribosomal RNA (443 nucleotides) under fungal endophyte sp. DM182. Its description in RNAcentral is "partial 28S rRNA". It matches the Rfam family "Eukaryotic large subunit ribosomal RNA", at positions 144 to 592 of the family's 3401-position model. Lineage: Eukaryota; Fungi. The record is from RNAcentral.